CAACCCUCAAGCUCAGCUUGGUGUUGGGCCCCGCCGCCCCGGCGGGCCCUAAAGUCAGUGGCGGUGCCGUCCGGCUCCGAGCGUAGUAAUUCUUCUCGCUCUGGAGGUCCGGUCGUGUGCUUGCCAUCAACCCCCAAUUUUUUUCA
Molecule: unclassified non-coding RNA, 146 nt
Filed under: Pseudogymnoascus appendiculatus
Lineage: Eukaryota; Fungi; Ascomycota; Leotiomycetes; Thelebolales; Thelebolaceae
Also listed under: 1 other name
Description: partial internal transcribed spacer 2
Source: RNAcentral